Molecule: ribosomal RNA, 119 nt
Filed under: Pteropus alecto (black flying fox)
Lineage: Eukaryota; Metazoa; Chordata; Mammalia; Chiroptera; Pteropodidae
Source: RNAcentral
GUCUAUGGCCAUGCUACCGUGAACAAGUCAGAUCCUGUCUGAUCUCAGAAGCUAAGCAGGGUUGGGUCUGGUUUGUACUUGGGUGGGAGACCACCUAGGAAGACCAGGUGCUGUAGGCG